CCUACGGGUGGCUGCAGUGAGGAAUAUUGGUCAAUGGGCGGAAGCCUGAACCAGCCAAGUAGCGUGCAGGAUGACGGCCCUACGGGUUGUAAACUGCUUUUAUACGGGAAUAACGCGCCUUACGUGUAGGGCUUUCCAUGUACCGUAUGAAUAAGGCCCGGCGAAUUCCGUGCCAGCCGCCGCGGUAAUACGGAAGGUCCGGGCGUUAUCCGGAUUUAUUGGGUUUAACGGGGGAGUAGGCCGCAUGUCAAGCGUGCUGUGAAAUGUCCGGGUGCAACCCGGGCCUUGCAGCGCGAACUGGCGUGCUUGAGUCCGCGGAAAGCAGGCGGAAUUCGUCGUGUAGCGGUGAAAUGCUUAGAUAUGACGAAGAACCCCGAUUGCGAAGGCAGCUUGCUGCAGCGGAACUGACGCUGAUGCUCGAAAGCGCGGGUAUCGAACAGGAUUAGAUACCCUAGUAGUC
This 460-nucleotide ribosomal RNA is filed under the name uncultured bacterium. RNAcentral describes it as "partial 16S ribosomal RNA". It matches the Rfam family "Bacterial small subunit ribosomal RNA", at positions 338 to 795 of the family's 1533-position model. The record is from RNAcentral.